GCCGGGCGCGGUGGCUCACGCCUGUAAUCCUAGCACUUUGGGAGGCCGAGGCGGGUGGAUCACCUGAGGUCAGGAGUUUGAGACCAGCCUGACCAACAUGGAGAAACCCCGUCUCUA
Molecule: non-coding RNA, 117 nt
Filed under: Nomascus leucogenys (northern white-cheeked gibbon)
Lineage: Eukaryota; Metazoa; Chordata; Mammalia; Primates; Hylobatidae
Source: Rfam by way of RNAcentral